UUCACACCACUGAAGACAUAAGUCCUUUGUUUAUUUGUAGAAGCGGUCCAACAGGGGAUCCAACAGCUCGGGCUUUCUUGCACUGUUCUGCCAAUGUACCUCAAUCCUAAUCUAGACGGACCACCUCUAGGGAUCACAAGGAAGUUCAGUUCAUAAACUGAGCUUCUCUCUCCA
Molecule: small RNA, 174 nt
Filed under: Gopherus agassizii (Agassiz's desert tortoise)
Lineage: Eukaryota; Metazoa; Chordata; Testudines; Testudinidae
Description: TUC338 (ENSGAGG00000011871.1)
Source: RNAcentral